This is a long non-coding RNA of Stomoxys calcitrans (stable fly), 1023 nucleotides long. RefSeq lists it as uncharacterized. The transcript has 8 exons. The record is from RefSeq and is a predicted model, not a curated record. Lineage: Eukaryota; Metazoa; Arthropoda; Insecta; Diptera; Muscidae.
AAACUUCUCAUGUAGAAUGCGAAUGAUUGGUCUUACUGAAAUAAAACAACUAAUUAUUAAUAAAAAAAUGUUGUACAUAAUUCAUACAUUUCCUAAAAUGGCUUCUAAUUUAACAAAAAAAAAUAACUAUAAUUUCAGACCAACUCGAUGGCUUGAUGUUUGGACAAAGCUAUGAGUUUUAGUUCAAUUUUAUGUAAAUAUUUAUGGAGUCCAUUGUGGUGCAGAGUUUGGUAUGUUCGAAUAUGGCGCUGAACUUAUAAUUUUGAAUUGGAUCACUGAUUGUUAUGUGAGAAACCACCCCGCCAUUCCUAAAUGGAAUGUUCUUGAAAAAUUUGCAUUUUUCUAUAAAGAAGUUCUUGAGCACUUUGACAGGACUUGGAAUUUUAAUCAGAGACAAUAUUCGCUAAACCGAUCUUAAGAUAUGCCUUUUAAAUCAUUCUUCAUUUUUGGUUUACAAUUCUUUAGGUCAAAACCAGAAUGGUAUUUUUGUAUCCGGGACUACAUAUUUUGUGUUAUGCUUCUGCAACGUUUUUACUUCGGCUAUUAAAGGAUAAAUUGAAACUGCGGGGCGAAAUUCAAUUUUGGAAAAGAUAUCUUAACAUGGCCUCAAAUUUGAUUGCCAGAACAUAUAAGGUAAGAGUGUCACAGUAUUAGAGCGUGAAAAAGUAUGACAAAAUUCGCACUAAGGUCUUGUACUGACUUCGAUUUUUCGACCGAACAACUCAAAACGCAUUAUAAAAAAUGGUGACGAAGAAAAUGCAAACACAUUCCGUAGACGUGGUAAUGAGUUCUAUGAGUUAAAUCAACUCUGCUUCAAUGCUGUUGUCUACGUUAUAUUGUUGUUUGUGUUCUGGUAAAAAAUGUCCGUCGGAUUCGGAAUAUUUUAAUAGGCAUUUUCGCUGCGAACGAAAUCAGUACUAGGCUUUACUUCCAAUCUACAAAAAUUGUAUAACUAUUCGUUCGUCCAUAAAAUGAAGUUUAGUGUUUCCCUCUAUGAAAUAAGUAAUGUUAAAAAAAAUUUAC